UACGUAGGGUGCAAGCGUUGUCCGGAAUUAUUGGGCGUAAAGAGCUCGUAGGCGGCUUGUCACGUCUGCUGUGAAAACUCGGGGCUUAACUCCGGGCCUGCAGUGGGUACGGGCAGACUAGAGUGCGGUAGGGGAGACUGGAAUUCCUGGUGUAGCGGUGAAAUGCGCAGAUAUCAGGAGGAACACCGGUGGCGAAGGCGGGUCUCUGGGCCGUAACUGACGCUGAGGAGCGAAAGCGUGGGGAGCAAACAGG
This 253-nucleotide ribosomal RNA is filed under the name uncultured bacterium. Its description in RNAcentral is "partial 16S ribosomal RNA". It matches the Rfam family "Bacterial small subunit ribosomal RNA", at positions 524 to 776 of the family's 1533-position model. The record is from RNAcentral.